This 253-nucleotide ribosomal RNA is filed under the name uncultured bacterium. RNAcentral describes it as "partial 16S ribosomal RNA". It matches the Rfam family "Bacterial small subunit ribosomal RNA", at positions 524 to 776 of the family's 1533-position model. The record is from RNAcentral.
UACGUAGGGUCCGAGCGUUGUCCGGAAUUACUGGGCGUAAAGAGCUCGUAGGUGGUUUGUCGCGUUGUUCGUGAAAACUCACAGCUCAACUGUGGGCGUGCGGGCGAUACGGGCAGACUUGAGUACUGCAGGGGAGACUGGAAUUCCUGGUGUAGCGGUGGAAUGCGCAGAUAUCAGGAGGAACACCGGUGGCGAAGGCGGGUCUCUGGGCAGUAACUGACGCUGAGGCGCGAAAGCGUGGGGAGCAAACAGG